GGUCACCAAACUUGUUCCUGGAGGUUCGGUGUCCUGCAGAUUUUAGGUCCAACCCUAAUCAAACACACCUGAACAAGCUAAUCAAGGUCUUACUAGGUAUAAACACCCAGGCAGGUGUGUUGAGACAAGUUGGAGCUAAACCCUGCAGGGCACCAAAUCUCCAGAAACGAGAUUGUUGACU
RNAcentral lists this microRNA precursor (181 nucleotides) under Trypanosoma vivax Y486. Lineage: Eukaryota; Euglenozoa; Kinetoplastea; Trypanosomatida; Trypanosomatidae. The record is from RNAcentral.